RNAcentral lists this ribosomal RNA (274 nucleotides) under uncultured bacterium. RNAcentral's name for it is "partial 16S ribosomal RNA". It matches the Rfam family "Bacterial small subunit ribosomal RNA", at positions 523 to 796 of the family's 1533-position model. The record is from RNAcentral.
AUACGGAGGGUGCAAGCGUUAUCCGGAAUCACUGGGUUUAAAGGGUGCGUAGGCGGUUAGAUAAGUCAGUAGUGAAAGCUCACAGCUCAACUGUGGAAUUGCUAUUGAAACUGUCUGACUAGAAUUAGGGAGAAGUAGGCGGAAUGUGACAUGUAGCGGUGAAAUGCAUAGAUAUGUCAUAGAACACCAAAUGCGAAGGCAGCUUACUAUACCUAUAUUGACGCUGAGGCACGAAAGCGUGGGGAGCGAACAGGAUUAGAAACCCUAGUAGUCC